UAGGGAAUCUUCCACAAUGGACGCAAGUCUGAUGGAGCAACGCCGCGUGAGUGAAGAAGGUUUUCGGACCGUAAAGCUCUGUUGUUGGUGAAGAAGGAUAGAGGUAGUAACUGGCCUUUAUUUGACGGUAAUCAACCAGAAAGUCACGGCUAACUACGUGCCAGCAGCCGCGGUAAUACGUAGGUGGCAAGCGUUGUCCGGAUUUAUUGGGCGUAAAGCGAGCGCAGGCGGAAGAAUAAGUCUGAUGUGAAAGCCCUCGGCUUAACCGUAGGAAUUGCAUCGGAAACU
This 288-nucleotide ribosomal RNA is filed under the name uncultured bacterium. RNAcentral describes it as "partial 16S ribosomal RNA". It matches the Rfam family "Bacterial small subunit ribosomal RNA", at positions 355 to 634 of the family's 1533-position model. The record is from RNAcentral.